CCCUUUACUUGUCUAGUGUUUUAUAUUUUGCCAAAUGUCUUGACAUACAGAAUCUUAUAUGCUCCUUGCCAUUACUCUGUACCACAGAUGUUUCAUCUCUAACAGGUGGGAUGACUGAGGCCAAUGGAAGUGAAGGUACUUGCCCAAGGUCACACAGCUGGGUUGGAACCAUUGAAGGUUCUUGAGCAGGGGAGGAACCAAAUCAGAGCUGAAGGUUAGCCGAAGAUGACUUUAGGAGCUAUGUGAACACUUACUGCCUACAGAGCCUGUGUGAUAUUGUGAUUUAUAAUAAGAAAUAUAUAUACAGUCUUAUGGUUCCUGGCACAGAGCUCCUAAGAACCUUGGAAUUUCCUAAGUGAUGAGAGCCAUAAAGGUGUCUUUGUUGUGUCAAUGAGGUGACUUUUGAACAACCAGUGGAGCCAACCAUGUGAUUAGAGAACUUUCAGUCUCAUCCUCAACCUCCUGGGAGAAGAGAGGAGCUGGAGCUCAAGCACCAACGGCCAGUGAUUUAAUCAAUCACAACUAGAUAAUGAAGCCACCAUAAAAACCCAAAAGGUUGGGUUCAGAGAGCUUCUGGGUUGGUGAACACCUGGAUGUGCUGGGAGGGCAGUGCACCUGGAGAAGGCAUAGAUGCCCCAUGCCUCUUCCCACAUACCUUGCUCUGUGCAUCUCUUCCAUCUGGCUACUCCUAAGUUACAUCCUUUUACAACAAACUGGCAAUACAGUAAGUAAAUGUUCCUCUGAGUUCUAUAAGCCACUGGCAAAUUAAUUGAACCCAAGGAAGGGUCAGAUGCACAGGUGACAGCUUGGGCUUCUGAUUGGUGUCUGAAGUAAGAGAGUGGGAAAAGUCUUGUAGGACUGAGCCCUUAACCUGUGGGAUCUGACUCUAUCUCCAGGCAGAUUGUGUGAGAAUUAAGGUGGCUUGUAGGCACCAGGUAGUAUGGGAAAGCUGCUUGGCCACAUGGAGAAAAACCCACGUUGGAAUUUGGUAUCAGCGUUAUCACCCUGCCAGUUGAGGAAGGAGGUGGAUCACACACCUACAGUCCCUGAGUGCUUGGGGUGGCCAGUCAGGAAGAGGGCAUUCCAGACUGGGCGAGGGAAAUGCUGGGAAAGAAACAGCCUCCAGGGGUGUGAGGAGGUCUCUGGGGUGGGAGCUUCCCUGUGGGGCAGGCAAAGGCCUCCAACCUUGAGGGUCUCAAAGGAAGCUGAAGUCAGAUUUAGCUGGUUGUGGACACCACCAAAUCCUGAGCUUCCCUCAAAAGAGCAAGAGGCCUCUGUGGCCUGGUCAGUGCUGCAGUGGACUCCCUGUGGGAGUCAGGUUCAGGAGAGCAGGGAAUAGGAGAGAGACCCUGUCACCGAGGAGGAAGCACCCGGCCCUCAGUGUGGCUACAGGAGAGAGAGGGGACUUCAUCCAGGGAGUACAGGGCGCAGUGAGGCUCCAGGGCUCCCAGCCCUGGCUUCCCACACCCUACAGCACCCAAGAGGCAGCCGAAUAUGAGCUGAGUGUCCCAGCCUGAGGAGCCCUCCUGUCCCAGAAGCCAGGCUCUUGGGCUCAGCUCUCAGCGGCCUCUCCCUCGUGGAGAUCUCAACUAAAUCAUACCUAUGUAAUGAAGCCAAACCCCAGUCUGGCUCCUGGGGGACAUAUUGGGCCAAGUUCCAAAUGCGAUGCCAGCCCCUAGGCCAUCUGUGAGCAACUGGCCUUCUCAUGCCCAGAAAGGAUAGAGCCUGAAGUUUCUUUUGCCCUCCAGGCAGGACUGAUCUCCUCCUCACCCUUUGGCCAAAGACAUCAAAAGAGGGGGCUCCAAGGUCUUUGCUGCUGCCUCAAAAUUGCAGGAUGUCAUCAUCAAACCUGGCUGUGGGAGAGUCAGAACCUGAGGCUCAGAGAGGCCGAGCAACUGACCCUGAGACACACAGCAAACCAGCCAAGGAAAGUGAGAGAAGAAAUCAGUCCCUAGGCUGCACUCUGGACAAAGACAAAUUCAUCAAAGGCCAAGGAGUCCUGGGGGCAGAGGCCCACCACCCACAUUUUCUCUGCUUCCUCUGUCCUCAGUCUGCAGGCACAAGUCAGAGUUGGUUUCCAUGACCUAGGUCUCUACAUCUGCUUCCAAUUGAGAUGGUAACACAGAUUUCAAGAGAAAUCUGCCACCUCAGACACUGGAUGAGAAACUAGAGGGCCAGACCUCUUCAGCUUUUUCAAUACAUAGUCGGGGAGUUUAGAAACACACUGAUGGCUUGGAAUGGCCCAAGGAAAUGACUGUCCAAGGUGAGGAUCAAUCAAGCCCAUUACCUCCGGGGUCUGCCGCUGGACGGCAUCCUUUCCUGACGGUAUGCAGGGGCGG
Molecule: long non-coding RNA, 2339 nt
Organism: Leopardus geoffroyi (Geoffroy's cat)
Lineage: Eukaryota; Metazoa; Chordata; Mammalia; Carnivora; Felidae
Exons: 5
Source: RefSeq, a predicted model, not a curated record